GAUGAACGCUGGCGGCGUGCCUAAUACAUGCAAGUCGAGCGAACGAACGAAAAGUUUACUCCUCUGAUGUUAUCGACGGACGGGUGAGUAACACGUGGAUAACCUACCUAUAAGACUGGGCUAACUUCGGAGAACCGGCGCCAAUACCGGGUGAUAUUUUGAACAUAAUGUUUCAAAAAUGCAAGACGAUCUUGUUAUAACUACUACGUUGAUCCGCGCUGUAUUGGCUAGUUGGUAAGGUAACGGCUUACCAAGGCAACGAUGCAUAGCCGACCUGAGAGGGUGAUCGGCCACACUGGAACUGAGACACGGUCCAGACUCCGACGGGAGGCAGCAGUAGGGAAUCUUCCGCAAUGGGCGAAAGCCUGACGGAGCAACACCGCGUGAGUGAUGAAGGUCUUCGGAUCGUAAAACUAUGUUAUUAGGGAAGAACAUAUGUGUAAGUAACUGUGAACAUCUUGACGGUACCUAAUCAGAAAGCCACGGCUAACUACGUG
RNAcentral lists this ribosomal RNA (497 nucleotides) under uncultured bacterium. Its description in RNAcentral is "partial 16S ribosomal RNA". It matches the Rfam family "Bacterial small subunit ribosomal RNA", at positions 28 to 507 of the family's 1533-position model. The record is from RNAcentral.